Molecule: ribosomal RNA, 186 nt
Filed under: uncultured bacterium
Lineage: Bacteria
Description: partial 16S ribosomal RNA
Rfam family: Bacterial small subunit ribosomal RNA
Source: RNAcentral
CCUUCAUGAAGCCGGAAUUGCUAGUAAUGGCAGGUCAGCAUACUGCCGUGAAUACGUUCCCGGGCCUUGUACACACCGCCCGUCACACCAUGAGAGUUGGGGAUACCCGAAGCCUGUGAGCUAACUUAACGGAGGCAGCAGUCGAAGGUAGAAUCAAUGAUUGGGGUGAAGUCGUAACAAGGUAUC